RNAcentral lists this ribosomal RNA (484 nucleotides) under uncultured bacterium. RNAcentral's name for it is "partial 16S ribosomal RNA". It matches the Rfam family "Bacterial small subunit ribosomal RNA", at positions 30 to 507 of the family's 1533-position model. The record is from RNAcentral.
AUUGAACGCUGGCGGCAGGCCUAACACACGCAAGUCGAGCGGAUGAAGGGAGCUUGCUCCUGGAUUCAGCGGCGGACGGGUGAGUAAUGCCUAGGAAUCUGCCUGGUAGUGGGGGAUAACGUCCGGAAACGGGCGCUAAUACCGCAUACGUCCUGAGGGAGAAAGUGGGGGAUCUUCGGACCUCACGCUAUCAGAUGAGCCUAGGUCGGAUUAGCUAGUUGGUGGGGUAAAGGCCUACCAAGGCGACGAUCCGUAACUGGUCUGAGAGGAUGAUCAGUCACACUGGAACUGAGACACGGUCCAGACUCCUACGGGAGGCAGCAGUGGGGAAUAUUGGACAAAGGGCGAAAGCCUGAUCCAGCCAUGCCGCGUGUGUGAAGAAGGUCUUCGGAUUGUAAAGCACUUUAAGUUGGGAGGAAGGGCAGUAAGUUAAUACCUUGCUGUUUUGACGUUACCAACAGAAUAAGCACCGGCUAACUUCGUG